UUGGAGGGCAAGUCUGGUGCCAGCAGCCGCGGUAAUUCCAGCUCCAAUAGCGUAUAUUAAAGUUGUUGCAGUUAAAAGCUCGUAGUUGAAUUUCGGGAUUCAUCCGUUGGUCGGGCUUCACGGUCCGUACUGGUGUGAUGGGUUCCUACCUUCUGAAUAACCGGCAUGCCAUUAAUUUGGUGCGCCGGGGAAGCAGAACUAUUACCUUGAAAAAAUUAGAGUGCUUAAAACAGGCAAGAGCCUGAAUAGGUUAGCAUGGAAUAAUAAAAUAGGACGGCAUGGUUCUAUUUUGUUGGUUUCUAGGAUCACCGUAAUGAUUAAUAGGGAUAGUUGGGGGCAUUAGUAUUCAAUUGUCAGAGGUGAAAUUCUUGGAUUUAUUGAAGACUAACUUCUGCGAAAGCAUUUGCCAAGGGUGUUUUCAUUAAUCAAGAACGAGAGUUAGGGGAUCGAAGACGAUCAGAUACCGUCGUAGUCUUAACCGUAAACUAUGCCGACUAGGGAUCGGAUGAUGUUAAUUUUUUAAUGACUCAUUCGGCGCCUUACGGGAAAC
RNAcentral lists this ribosomal RNA (550 nucleotides) under uncultured Glomeromycotina. Its description in RNAcentral is "SSU rRNA". It matches the Rfam family "Eukaryotic small subunit ribosomal RNA", at positions 548 to 1098 of the family's 1831-position model. Lineage: Eukaryota; Fungi; Glomeromycota. The record is from RNAcentral.